GGGAAAACCCAGAAAGUCCCAAUUUGAGGGACUCAUAAUCCUUUGGUCGUUGGUUCAAGUCCAACACGGCCUACCA
RNAcentral lists this transfer RNA (76 nucleotides) under Steroidobacteraceae bacterium. RNAcentral describes it as "tRNA-Met". The record is from RNAcentral. Lineage: Bacteria; Pseudomonadati; Pseudomonadota; Gammaproteobacteria; Steroidobacterales; Steroidobacteraceae.